AUUGAACGCUGGCGGCAGGCCUAACACAUGCAAGUCGAACGAGUGGCGGACGGGUGAGUAAUGCAUGGGAAACUGCCUGAUGGAGGGGGAUAACUACUGGAAAUGGUAUCUAAUACCGCAUACCAUCAGAUGUGCCCAGAUGGGAAUGGCUUGUUGGUGGGGUAAAGGCUCACCAAGGCGACGAUCCCUAGCUGGUCCGAGAGGAGGAAGAGCCACACGGGACCUGAGACACGGUCCAGACUCCUACGGGGGGCAGAAGGGGGGAAUAUUGCACAAGGGGGGCAAGCCUGAUGCAGCCAUGCCGGGUGUAUGAAGAAGGCCUUCGGGUUGUAAAGUACUUUCAGCGGGGAGGCGUUACCCGAAGAAGAAGCACCGGCUAACUCCGUGCCAGCAGCCGCGGUAAUAC
RNAcentral lists this ribosomal RNA (406 nucleotides) under uncultured bacterium. RNAcentral describes it as "partial 16S ribosomal RNA". It matches the Rfam family "Bacterial small subunit ribosomal RNA", at positions 29 to 526 of the family's 1533-position model. The record is from RNAcentral.